GUCCACGCCCUAAACGAUGGAUACUAAGUGUCGGCGGGUUACCGCCGGUGCCGCAGCUAACGCAGUAAGUAUCCCGCCUGGGGAGUACGGCCGCAAGGUUGAAACUCAAAGGAAUUGACGGGGGCCCGCACAAGCGGUGGAGCAUGUGGUUCAAUUCGACGCAACGCGAAGAACCUUACCCAGGCUGGACAAGCAGGUAGUAAAAACCUGAAAGGGCAAUGAGGUAGCAAUACCAUCCUGCUCAGGUGCUGCAUGGCUGUCGU
This 263-nucleotide ribosomal RNA is filed under the name uncultured bacterium. RNAcentral describes it as "partial 16S ribosomal RNA". It matches the Rfam family "Bacterial small subunit ribosomal RNA", at positions 793 to 1055 of the family's 1533-position model. The record is from RNAcentral.